GGCUUCAUGAGAUUUGAACAUUAUUUGACACCAACGACCUUUUUGCAGCUGUAAAUGUUUAGUUUGUCACAACCAGAUCAAAAAGUAAGAACUUGUUGUGAUUUGUGUAAAAUGUGUGAGGCUGAGUUCCUGCUGUCACUGAUGCAGCUCACAUGUAUCAGCCUCACCCUCCUCGUGCUUCAUGCUGCCUGGAUUUAAUCCUCACUUACUUUCUGUGGCUCUUUGUAAGAUCUCUGAUCACUUUCAUUAAAGUUCUCACUGACUGUUGGAUCUCUUCAUAUUUUACAGUGAUGAGAUUUUCUGCUUCUGAGGAAGUGAAGAAGAACCUGACGGGCACUGUGGGAGGAAACAUCACUCUACCUGCACCUGUGCUGGAGGAAGGAUUUCUGUCAUAUGGAGGAAAGAUUAUUGUUAUGGUGAAUAAUGGAGAAUUUAAAGUAUACAAGAACCGACUUCAGUGGGACAGAAACUCUGGACUCUUUACACUCACAGAGCUGCAGAGGAACGACUCAGGGAUUUAUACUGUCGACUCUAAAACAGGAAACGAUUUCACAUCAUCAUAUAAGCUGACAGUGUACGACUCUGUACCGACUCCUGCAGUGAAGAAAGUGAGUGUGAGCUCUGAGAGCUGCUCCUUACUGUGUUUGGUGGACAGAGAGACCACACUGCUGUGGUUUAAAGACGAGCAGAGACUGAACCAGAGCAGCUCUGCGCUCUCUCUGCCUCUCACUGUGCACAAACAGGACUUCAGCUCCUCUUACAGAUGUGUGGCUGCAAACCCUGCAGACGAGAAAACUCUUCCUGUCCCUGUGAAUACGACCUGUGGAGACACAGACGACACAGGUGACAGGAACACAGACUCCUGGUUGUUCCUGGUUCCCAUGGCUGUGUGUUGGAGUGCUGUUGUUGUUUCGAUGGUUCUGAUGGAGGGGAAGAGAGAGGCUGAGACGGCUUCACCAUCAGCUGUGCACUCACAUCAGUGUGACCUUCACUGAAACACUGGAAAUAACAACGCUUUUAGGUGCAGUUUGAAAUCGUCUUCUAAACCCGAGGAGAGGAACGUGAUCCAGAGCACAGCUGACCUCAAAAUGCAUGUUUUAGAGCAGAUUUUAGCUCUAAAUAUAUUAUUUCAUGCAGGUUUUCCCAGCAUAUAUCUUAUUACCAUUACUCUUCUGACUACACACAGUUAUACCCCCUGCCCCUCUGUGAUUUAAACGCAGCUCACACAGUAUAAAGGCUAACUCCAGCUGGAUGGAUAAAAUCGAAACAUAAAAGAAACAUAAAUGUUCUUUUGAAAUGUUGCACAGAUUUGAAACUCUGAGGUGAUCACAGGCCUCAUUCUCACAUGAGCAGCAUAGUUAAAACCUGCUUUUUACCAUCAGUGAAUGUGCAUGAAAUGCUGAAUGCUUCUGAUCCUGGAGGAUUGUAACUCACUGCUCACAGGAAUCACAAAACAGCAGCAGACUCUGCUUCAGCUCCUGGGUUUGAGUUUAAAAUGGGAAUCCGUCUACGAGCUGCACUGAGAUCAUCACAUCAGGUUUCCAGUUAGUUUUGUGGUUGAUUUUUAAAUCUCAGGGAUGUUUUUAAGGCCUGUGUGUCUGGGAGCUCAGUAUCUCUCUGCUGCUCUCACCUCCAUCGCGUUUAAAGGAGAAGUGGAGAGGAGAGGUGGACUGAUGUUUCCUCAACUCAUCUCUAAUCACACCUGAGAGGUUAAAGGUCAGCAUCCAGCCUUUUGUGUUUGAAAUGAUGAAGAGUACUAUAAACUAACAGAGUUUAUCUACAUGUGCUUUUGGUAAAAAUAAAUCCUCUUUAUUAUUAAUCAAAGAAGAGUUUCUGUUGUAUUGUUG
Molecule: long non-coding RNA, 1847 nt
Filed under: Oreochromis niloticus (Nile tilapia)
Lineage: Eukaryota; Metazoa; Chordata; Actinopteri; Cichliformes; Cichlidae
Description: lncRNA (ENSONIG00000032423.1)
Source: RNAcentral